GGCAGGGGGUCCCUGAGCCACGGAAGCCUCACCUUCUCCUUGGUCAUGUCCAGGAGGCCCACGGAGUACCGCUCGCAGUUGAGGUAGGCCCGCACCGUGUAGAAGGCCUUGUGGAACUGCCUCUCGAUGUCCGUCAGCUCCUCAAACACCUUGUUGGCCGACCACAGCAGCACCUGGAGGGAGGGGCACACCUGUGGGCCUGUGGCCACUCCCACCCUCACGCCGGUCUGACCACAGCAGCAGGGGUUUAACUCAAGCCUGACACAGGUUUCAUCUGAGCUUGUGGGGCCCGGGAGCUGGCUGGCGGUGAGGCCUCGAGGCUGCGGUCGUGUCCCUGAUCACUCAGGAGUGGACGAGUGGAAAGUGGAAUCUGUCGCUUUGAGCUUGACAGGCAAACAUCCGACCAGCCCUUCCUCCGCCCGGCUGCUCCAGAACCACCUGCGGCGAGCAGGGCUUUGAGAACAUCGGGCCGUGGUUUCCGCACGUCAGGCCGCCUGUGGCCUCCGCCAAGCGUCUGAGAGUGAAGCAUUGCUGACGCACUCCACGAGGUCCUGGCCAGACCCCACUCAGGACAUCCCGCUGCACAGGCCCCUGGUUGCUGGGUCAGCGCUGCCACCAGGCUCAGACUCACCCCAGGGCCCUCCUUGGGCCACCUUUCUCUGCCUCCUUGGUCAAGGCCCAGACCCAGGCCCCACCAGGCCCUGCCUCCUCACACUCGCGGCGGCCGCUGGGUCUUCUACCGCAUGGUGCCAGCUCCCUCUCCUCCGCUGCGGUGUCCUAGCCCAGCUCUCUCCCUGCCAGGCCCUCUGAAGUUCCACCCCCUGGCACUCAGCUCAUGGUGGGAACAGGACCAGGCUCUCCUGUUGCCAAGGGCAGUGAGAUGUUCG
This 887-nucleotide long non-coding RNA is filed under the name Homo sapiens (human). RNAcentral's name for it is "non-protein coding lnc-ATP5ME-1:22". Lineage: Eukaryota; Metazoa; Chordata; Mammalia; Primates; Hominidae. The record is from RNAcentral.